UACGUAGGGUGCAAGCGUUGUCCGGAAUUAUUGGGCGUAAAGAGCUCGUAGGCGGUUCGUCGCGUCUGCUGUGAAAAUCCGGGGCUCAACCCCGGACUUGCAGUGGGUACGGGCAGACUAGAGUGUGGUAGGGGAGACUGGAAUUCCUGGUGUAGCGGUGAAAUGCGCAGAUAUCAGGAGGAACACCGAUGGCGAAGGCAGGUCUCUGGGCCACUACUGACGCUGAGAAGCGAAAGCAUGGGGAGCGAACAGG
Molecule: ribosomal RNA, 253 nt
Filed under: uncultured bacterium
Lineage: Bacteria
Description: partial 16S ribosomal RNA
Rfam family: Bacterial small subunit ribosomal RNA
Source: RNAcentral